RNAcentral lists this ribosomal RNA (743 nucleotides) under uncultured bacterium. RNAcentral's name for it is "bacterial SSU rRNA". It matches the Rfam family "Bacterial small subunit ribosomal RNA", at positions 94 to 823 of the family's 1533-position model. The record is from RNAcentral.
AGCGGCGGAUGGGUGAGUAACACGUGGGGAACCUGCCCCUAAGUCUGGGAUACCAUUUGGAAACAGGUGCUAAUACCGGAUAAUAAAGCAGAUCGCAUGAUCAGCUUUUGAAAGGCGGCGUAAGCUGUCGCUAAGGGAUGGCCCCGCGGUGCAUUAGCUAGUUGGUAAGGUAACGGCUUACCAAGGCGACGAUGCAUAGCCGAGUUGAGAGACAGAUCGGCCACAUUGGGACUGAGACACGGCCCAAACUCCUACGGGAGGCAGCAGUAGGGAAUCUUCCACAAUGGACGCAAGUCUGAUGGAGCAGCGCCGCGUGAGUGAAGAAGGUUUUCGGAUCGUAAAGCUCUGUUGUUGGUGAAGAAGGAUAGAGGUAGUAACUGGCCUUUAUUUGACGGUAAUCAACCAGAAAGUCACGGCUAACUACGUGCCAGCAGCCGCGGUAAUACGUAGGUGGCAAGCGUUGUCCGGAUUUAUUGGGCGUAAAGCGAGCGCAGGCGGAAAAAUAAGUCUAAUGUGAAAGCCCUCGGCUUAACCGAGGAACUGCAUCGGAAACUGUUUUUCUUGAGUGCAGAAGAGGAGAGUGGAACUCCAUGUGUAGCGGUGGAAUGCGUAGAUAUAUGGAAGAACACCAGUGGCGAAGGCGGCUCUCUGGUCUGCAACUGACGCUGAGGCUCGAAAGCAUGGGUAGCGAACAGGAUUAGAUACCCUGGUAGUCCAUGCUGUAAACGAUGAGUGCUAAGUGU